Molecule: ribosomal RNA, 424 nt
Filed under: Verrucomicrobiota bacterium
Lineage: Bacteria; Pseudomonadati; Verrucomicrobiota
Description: Verrucomicrobia bacterium partial 16S ribosomal RNA
Rfam family: Bacterial small subunit ribosomal RNA
Source: RNAcentral
UGAGGAAUAUUGGUCAAUGGACGCAAGUCUGAACCAGCCAAGUAGCGUGCAGGAUGACGGCCCUAUGGGUUGUAAACUGCUUUUAUAUGGGGAUAAAGUGGGGAACGUGUUCCCUUUUGCAGGUACCAUAUGAAUAAGGACCGGCUAACUCCGUGCCAGCAGCCGCGGUAAUACGGAAGGUUCGGGCGUUAUUCGGAUCUAUUGGGUUUAGAGGGAGCGUAGGCCGGUUGGUAAGCGUGUUGUGAAAUGUAGGAGCUCAACUUCUAGAUUGCAGCGCGAACUGUCAGACUUGAGUGCGCACAACGUAGGCGGAAUUCAUGGUGUAGCGGUGAAAUACUAAGAUAUCAUUAAGAACUCCGAUUGCGAAAGCAGCUUACGGAAGCAAAACAGACGCUGAAGCUCGAAGGUGCGGGUAUCGAACAGG